Molecule: ribosomal RNA, 435 nt
Filed under: Triticum aestivum (bread wheat)
Lineage: Eukaryota; Viridiplantae; Streptophyta; Magnoliopsida; Poales; Poaceae
Description: partial small subunit ribosomal RNA
Source: RNAcentral
AUGAAAGCUUUAUUCUGGAAUAUUAGAGGUUUCGGCGCCAGGGGGCGCAGGGACCAGCUUAAAGAUUUAGUUCGUGCUGAAAAUAUUGAUUUCAUUGGUCUUGUCAAAACUCUCAAACCUUCCUUUUCCCCUAAUGAACUAUCGGCUGUUGCUGGGAUUGACAGAUUCAAUUGGAAUUUUGUUGCUUCUGAAGGUCACUCAGGUGGUAUUUUGCUUGGCACCAAAAAAGAUGUUUUCGAUUUUGUUGCCUUUGACCAUGGCAUUUUUUGGGCUAGCACGGUGGUUUCUCAUCGAUCCCUUAACUCCUUACUUGAAAUUAUGGUGGUUUAUGGCCCGGCUGAUCACUCUAUGUCUUACAACUUCUUGGAUGAACUGCACAAUAAAAUCGACUCUUGUCAGGUGCCUCUCCUAAUCGGGGGAGAUUUUAAUUUGCUU